UGCCAGACUCCUACGGGAGGCAGCAGUGAGGCAUAUUGGUCAAUGGGCGAGAGCCUGAACCAGCCAAGUCGCGUGAAGGAUGACGGCCCUACGGGUUGUAAACUUCUUUUGUCAGGGAGCAAUUGAGUCCACGUGUGGUCUUAGCGAGAGUACCUGAAGAAAAAGCAUCGGCUAACUCCGUGCCAGCAGCCACGGUAAUACGGAGGAUGCGAGCGUUAUCCGGAUUUAUUGGGUUUAAAGGGUGCGCAGGCGGAAUGUCAAGUCAGCGGUAAAAUUUCGGGGCUCAACCCCGUCGUGCCGUUGAAACUGGCGUUCUUGAGUGAGCGAGAAGUAUGCGGAAUGCGUGGUGUAGCGGUGAAAUGCAUAGAUAUCACGCAGAACUCCGAUUGCGAAGGCAGCAUACCGGCGCUCAACUGACGCUCAUGCACGAAAGCGUGGGUAUCGAACAGGAUUAGAUACCCGCGUAAA
RNAcentral lists this ribosomal RNA (468 nucleotides) under uncultured bacterium. RNAcentral describes it as "bacterial SSU rRNA". It matches the Rfam family "Bacterial small subunit ribosomal RNA", at positions 329 to 794 of the family's 1533-position model. The record is from RNAcentral.